RNAcentral lists this unclassified non-coding RNA (1465 nucleotides) under Hevea brasiliensis (rubber tree). The record is from RNAcentral. Lineage: Eukaryota; Viridiplantae; Streptophyta; Magnoliopsida; Malpighiales; Euphorbiaceae.
AAAGGUGCAAGCAUCUUGCCCAGCCUAUUUGGUAGCGUUGAAUUGAUUCGAAUUCUACCCCCAGCCGGAAUUGUGCGAACUAUGCAAGCUAACAGAGAUCUUUCAUCAAGGAGUACAGUCUCUGAAGUUUUUCCUACAGUCAUCACAUUUGUCUGCCCUGUUGAGAUCAAUGCUUCAGACAAAACUACAUCAGUACCAUUAUUGAUUGUGGCUUCACUGACAUUAACUGAAUGCAUUGACGUUUCAGAUAAUGGUGCACUGGCAGAAGAACUUGGUUCUUGCAUCAAAACUUGGUCAUCUAACCUGUGAUCACUCGAGUUCAAAACACUUUGCUCCUUCAUUUCACUGUUUUGAUCAAGAGAAUUCAGAUUUAAAGAAUCACUAAAUUGGGAAGAAAUCUGCUGUAAGUUCUGCUCAGGUUGGGAGGCAACCAAGUAACUUCUAUCCACUGACUCAAGGACCUGAGCUUCCCUAGAGGACGAAGAGAUUACAGGAUCAGGCUCUGUCCCUUGGCUGAUGUUAACAUCCAGAUAAUCUGGAUGAAAACCUUGUCCAUUGACAGACAUUUCAUACUCAUACUUUGCAUCUGAUCUCAUCUCAUAAGGUUGUGAUCAGUUUGGGAUAAUGUGAGUUGAUUUUGUGUAGGUGAUUGAGCACCCUCAGACAUGGCCUGCUGUUUCUGCCAGUGUGGAAGAGAUGACAUUGCUGGUAUUGAAUGAAAAUGCCCAACAUAAGAUUGUGGAACAUGUGAUGGCAUAGAAUGAGGAAUCCCCUGUUGGUGCAGGAUGAAUGGAUGCAGUGCAGUCACCUGUCCAGGCGGAAGGUAGGUAGGCAUACCAAGUAAAGACGAUGGUGCAAUGGGAACACCAGCAACAUGGUUGGUCUGGUUUGAUGGAUUAUCUGCAUUCCCAUUUGGAAGUGGUCCAUUAUUAGCACUUGUUACACCAUUUCCAUUAACAUCUAGUUGGUUUCCAUUGCUUUGACCAAACUUUGAUAUAUCCUUUGAGCUUGUCUGGGAUAUGCGUGACUCUUCAGGGUAAGAUCCACUCCUUUCUCUUGUAUCAGCUAGCUCAAGAUGAAGCUGUUGUACAGUAUGCAAAUGAAGUCUCUCCAUCUCUGCUAACUGAUAAACCAAAGGAAGAAGCAAAUAAAUCAAUCCAAAAAUGAUUAAACUUUGGCCAGAAGAAUAGCAGCAUCACGCUGUUUAUCAUGUAGCAGUAUUUAUCUAUACUGCAUCAGUAAAGGUAUACGAAGGAUUUUUUUUUUUUUUUUUUUUUUUUGAAUCAAAAUAAAUUUCAGAAGUAAAAUGAAUAAGCCAAUUAGUCAGCUGAGAGAAAGAGGAAACUGUACAGAUACAAGCAAGCAUACAGGACACACAAAUGUAAUAUAAGCCAACAUCUGUCUAAAUGCCAAAAGAACUGAUUGCAAGUCAACCUGUCUUUGACAACCCAACCAUAGCUGAUUA